RNAcentral lists this ribosomal RNA (545 nucleotides) under uncultured bacterium. RNAcentral's name for it is "bacterial SSU rRNA". It matches the Rfam family "Bacterial small subunit ribosomal RNA", at positions 777 to 1314 of the family's 1533-position model. The record is from RNAcentral.
GAUAGAUACCCGGGUAGUCCAUGCCGUAAACGUUGGGCACUAGGUGUGGGGGACCAUUUCCACGGUCUCCGUGCCGCAGCUAACGCAUUAAGUGCCCCGGCCUGGGGAGUACGGCCGCAAGGCUAAAACUCAAAGGAAUUGACGGGGGCCCGCACAAGCGGCGGAGCAUGCGGAUUAAUUCGAUGCAACGCGAAGAACCUUACCAAGGCUUGACAUGCACCGGAAACACUCAGGGAUGGGUGCCCCGCAAGGUCGGUGCACAGGUGGUGCAUGGUUGUCGUCAGCUCGUGUCGUGAGAUGUUGGGGUUAAAGUCCCGCAACGAGCGCAACCCUCGUCCCAUGUUGCCAGCGGGUUAUGCCGGGGACUCAUGGGAGACUGCCGGGGUCAACUCGGAGGAAGGUGGGGAUGACGUCAAAUCAUCAUGCCCCUUAUGUCUUGGGCUUCACGCAUGCUACAAUGGCCGGUACAGAGGGCUGCGAUACCGCGAGGUGGAGCGAAUCCCGACAAAGCCGGUUCUUGGUUCGGAUUGGAGGUCUGUAAACCG